Molecule: ribosomal RNA, 253 nt
Filed under: uncultured bacterium
Lineage: Bacteria
Description: partial 16S ribosomal RNA
Rfam family: Bacterial small subunit ribosomal RNA
Source: RNAcentral
UACGUAGGGUGCAAGCGUUGUCCGGAUUUAUUGGGCGUAAAGAGCUCGUAGGCGGUUUGUCGCGUCUGCUGUGAAAGCCCGAGGCUCAACCUUGGGUCUGCAGUGGGUACGGGCAGACUAGAGUGCGGUAGGGGAGAUUGGAAUUCCUGGUGUAGCGGUGGAAUGCGCAGAUAUCAGGAGGAACACCGAUGGCGAAGGCAGAUCUCUGGGCCGUUACUGACGCUGAGGAGCGAAAGCAUGGGGAGCGAACAUG